Long non-coding RNA from Chroicocephalus ridibundus (black-headed gull), 1864 nucleotides. RefSeq lists it as uncharacterized. NCBI's taxonomy places the organism in Eukaryota, Metazoa, Chordata, Aves, Charadriiformes, Laridae. The record is from RefSeq and is a predicted model, not a curated record. The transcript has 3 exons.
GGUUGGCAUUUCGGGAUACAGGCAACUCUGAACAAAUUAUACGGCGGUGGGCUCUGUCCUGGCAAAAUUGACCAGGAACCACCUUGACAAAGGGCCUGAGGGCCUGGUCUUAAGGAGUUGCGAGCUGUCUCUCACAAGGAAGCCUUGUUGGCACUCGUGCUGAACAGCCACGUCCUCUGCAAGGGAGCGCAGAGCGUGCUGGGGAGAGAGAAGUCCCAAGAGAAGCCCAGUCUCCAUCAGGCAGUGACAAAAGAAAAAUCAAAAGCAGGGAAGAAGCUGUGGUAAAGCAAUUUAUGUCAGUACGUUCAGUAUUUUGCACGUGUCUGUCUCGUAGUAGCUGAAGAGCAGGUUUGCCUUUUUGUCUCAAUAAACCAGUGGCCCUGAAGACACCUUCUGCAAACCCCCAAAGUGCCCACAGUAUUUAAAGUCUGCACAUUAACUGCUGGUUAAUGGAGCUAGAAGUGACCCAUUUUGACGAAGGGGAUCAGAGAGCGUGCCAGAGAAACUCAAGGCGACAGCCAGUGCCCUGGCUUAUUCAGACCAGGAGAGUGCAGGAACAAAUAGUUCCAGCACAGUUAUCCUCACAAGUGGGGAGCAGCGGAGAGGGGCGCGUGGUGAGGAGGAAAGACACUUCAAUUCUCUCUUCCCUUUUGUCAUCUCAACUCGCCUUUCGUUCCUCCCUACCACUUCCACAGCAGGCUCCUGGAAAUGAUCUGAACUGCAGGCGCAAAACAGGGAGAGAUUCAGACCUUAGUCUGGUGAACACCUGAGCCCUCUGUGAGAGGGACUGCCUGGCUUUGCUGAUGUCCCUGGCUGCUGACCUUCCCUCCCCAGGCUUUCAGAAGUCUGUCAGUUCUAUGUGCCGGCAGGAGGUCAGGAUGCAGUUGCACAAAUGCUGUAAGCUGGCCGUCACUGAAAGCAGAGCUUGGUCCCCCAUUUGUUUUACAGCACGUGAAUAAACAAAGGCUUGAGCCGCUGCAGAGGAGAUGGCUACGUGGGGGAAAGGAUGCACAGCAAUCGGUAGGGGAAGAGUGAACCAGUGUGCCAACGUGUUGAACCAACGUGUGCCAGAGGCAGUCCCAGCUGACAGGGGUGUGCAUGGCUUGAGAAGAUGCAGGCAGAUGACUUGGCUGAGCCCAUCUAACACGUUGACAAUGCCAAAAGGAGAUGCUCCAGCUCACAGUUUCCUACCCUCUGCUUCUGACUGUGAGCUCCUGUCACUUUCCUCGCUGUGGAUCUGGCACUGUUAUAAUGCAAGACGACUCAAUUCACCUUGCUAAUCCAGCAGAAGUAGAGUUACUCUUUGACACUCAUUAGAUUGACGUUUGCUGUCUGACGAUACUAGAAAAGAGCUCUUCAUAAUGAGGGUCGUCAAACACUGGAACGGGUGCCUAGAGGGGCUGUGGCUUCUCCAUCCUUGGAUAUGGUCAGUGCUGGAACGGACAAGGCCCUGAGAAACCUGAUCUAACUUUGGAGUUGGAUUUAAUGUUGAAGUUGGCUCUGCCGUGUACAGGGAGUUAGACCAGCUGGCCUCCAGAGGUCCCUUCCAACCUAAGUUACUGCAUGGUAUAGAUGGGGCAGUCACGAUUCCGGUAUCUCGUGUCCUUCUUUUACACUGAGAAAUCUUCUCAUGCAUCAGUAUCCCUAGCUGAAAAUUUAUCUGUCUAACGUUAAGGUAGUCCUGUAAUUAUUAUGAAAUUUCAGUGUAUACAUUUCUAUGUAUAAGUUUCUAUGAGCAAAGCUAUCCCAGGAAGAAGUUUGGUUGGACAGUAUAAGUCAGUACUUUAAAAAUAUAUGUAUUGUAGAGUUGAUCUCAUUAUUGCUAACCAAAUAUUAUAAAGCCAGAUUAUUAAAUAUGAAUUUA